Molecule: ribosomal RNA, 571 nt
Filed under: Penicillium crustosum
Lineage: Eukaryota; Fungi; Ascomycota; Eurotiomycetes; Eurotiales; Aspergillaceae
Description: eukaryotic LSU rRNA
Rfam family: 5.8S ribosomal RNA (bases 201-353)
Source: RNAcentral
CGUGGUGACUGCGGAGGAUCAUUACCGAGUGAGGGCCCUCUGGGUCCAACCUCCCACCCGUGUUUAUUUUACCUUGUUGCUUCGGCGGGCCCGCCUUAACUGGCCGCCGGGGGGCUUACGCCCCCGGGCCCGCGCCCGCCGAAGACACCCUCGAACUCUGUCUGAAGAUUGAAGUCUGAGUGAAAAUAUAAAUUAUUUAAAACUUUCAACAACGGAUCUCUUGGUUCCGGCAUCGAUGAAGAACGCAGCGAAAUGCGAUACGUAAUGUGAAUUGCAAAUUCAGUGAAUCAUCGAGUCUUUGAACGCACAUUGCGCCCCCUGGUAUUCCGGGGGGCAUGCCUGUCCGAGCGUCAUUGCUGCCCUCAAGCCCGGCUUGUGUGUUGGGCCCCGUCCCCCGAUCUCCGGGGGACGGGCCCGAAAGGCAGCGGCGGCACCGCGUCCGGUCCUCGAGCGUAUGGGGCUUUGUCACCCGCUCUGUAGGCCCGGCCGGCGCUUGCCGAUCAACCCAAAUUUUUAUCCAGGUUGACCUCGGAUCAGGUAGGGAUACCCGCUGAACUUAAGCAUAUCAAUA